Molecule: long non-coding RNA, 1167 nt
Organism: Cavia porcellus (domestic guinea pig)
Lineage: Eukaryota; Metazoa; Chordata; Mammalia; Rodentia; Caviidae
Exons: 7
Source: RefSeq, a predicted model, not a curated record
CUUGUGCUCGCUAGUCAAGUGCUCUACCACUGAAGUAAACCUCCAGGCCCAAGCCAGGAUAUUUGUGCGAACCGCAGUGAACUCGUGGGAGACUGAAGGCAGUGCCCAAAGCCUUGCUCUGCUGGGCAGGUCUCUGUCCAGUCCAUACGUCCGCACAGACACCUGCCCUGCCGUGUGCGGUGUUACUCUCCACAGGAAGGUCCUGGAAGACUCCUGGGGUUGCCGUGAUAGCCAGCAGCCAGCAAGCCGAGUGCCCACCUGUGCUGAUUAGAAGCUGGAACAAGUUGCUGGACUUCAGCAAAGAGAGAAGGCUGGACCUGUGCCACGCUUCGGAGAGGGGCAGUGGCAAGAGAGAAUGAUUCUGUGACACCACUAAGGCCUCUGCCAGGGCAGGAAAGCUUCCCAGCCUCGUGUGGCCAGAAAGCCUCCUCGUACCGCGGGGGCAUCCGCUGCCAAAUGAGUCAGCACCGUCUGAGGAGGAAGAGAACCCUGAAGGGGGCGGCAGCUCCAAAUCGUCCAGGAAGUUAUGCGCCACGCUUGCUUUGCUACCUUCUGCCCUCUGUGGACUGUUCUUCUCUGUGAUGCCCUCUGCCACGCCACCCGCCUUGGAACCACGUGAUUAUGGACUAAACUCACUCAGGAGACCGAGGCAGGAAGAUUGCCACAGUUGAAGGCCAGUCUGAAUUACUGAGCAAAGACCCUGUCUACAAAAAAAACAAAAAACAAUAAACAACGAAGUUACUCAAAUAAAAGCAAAGUUGGAGUUUCCUUUGUUUUAAACAUCAUGAACAUGCUGUACACAACUCAUUUUACAACUGAUUUGUUUUAAUCAUCUAGUUGUGUGAUCAUGACUCAGUCCUUAAAUAAGGAAUUUUGUGCUUAGUUUUUUUGUUCUUGGUUCAAAUUAUACUAGAUACUUCUUUGAAAAUGAUAAGCCGACAUUAACAAUAAAGAAACAAAAAUGAUGAUAUAAAAGCAUUACCUUCCUGUUUUCAUUUGUAAUUGGAAUUUUAUCACCAUUUUCCUUUAGAUCAUACAUCAUUGGGUUACCAAAAAGAUCUGUCUGUGAUAUCUGAAAAGUGAUCAUCAUAUCAUCUUCCACGUUCCCUUCGUAUUCCAGUAAGUCUUUUAAACUUUGAUGUAAAACCUAACAAUCAGGAAGGAAAA